GGCCGUGGCUCAGUGGCAGAGAGCGUCCGCUUGGCGCGCGGAAGGCUGCGGGUUCAAUCCCAGGCAGGGUCG
Molecule: non-coding RNA, 72 nt
Organism: Podarcis lilfordi (Lilford's wall lizard)
Lineage: Eukaryota; Metazoa; Chordata; Lepidosauria; Squamata; Lacertidae
Source: the annotation of a GenBank genome assembly